Molecule: long non-coding RNA, 324 nt
Organism: Helicoverpa armigera (cotton bollworm)
Lineage: Eukaryota; Metazoa; Arthropoda; Insecta; Lepidoptera; Noctuidae
Exons: 3
Source: RefSeq, a predicted model, not a curated record
CCCCCGCGCCGCCCGCCACGCCGUCCCCGGGCGCGGCGGGCAGCACCCCCGCGGCGGGCUCGACGCACUCCCUCAACACCGACACCUCCGACACUACGCCCAGGUCGCGCAGGCGCGGCGUGCUGGUGCAGGCGCUGGUGCAUCAACAUCCCAAGAGCAGCGGCAGCGGCUCGUCGUAGGCGCCGCGCGUUACGUGCACCGCCAACGUUACCGCACUUUACAUUCAUUCUUAUUACUUACUUUUUAUAAUGCCUUUUAGUUUUUUUUAUUACUAAUAUAAAAUGUGUUCACAUGGAAUUUUGCAUUAUAUAUUCCUUGAUCUUA